This 578-nucleotide ribosomal RNA is filed under the name uncultured marine bacterium. Its description in RNAcentral is "bacterial SSU rRNA". It matches the Rfam family "Bacterial small subunit ribosomal RNA", at positions 338 to 916 of the family's 1533-position model. The record is from RNAcentral.
CCUACGGGAGGCAGCAGUAGGGAAUAUUGGGCAAUGGACGAAAGUCUGACCCAGCCAUGCCGCGUGCAGGAUGACAGCCCUCUGGGUUGUAAACUGCUUUUAUAUAGGAAGAAACCCUUGGAUGCGUCCGAGGCUGACGGUACUAUAUGAAUAAGGAUCGGCUAACUUCGUGCCAGCAGCCGCGGUAAGACGAAGGAUCCAAGCGUUGUCCGGAUUUACUGGGUUUAAAGGGUGCGUAGGCGGACCUUUAAGUCAGUGGUGAAAUCCCGCAGCUCAACUGCGGAACUGCCAUUGAAACUGAAGGUCUUGAAUAUGGUUGAGGUAGAUGGAAUAUAACAUGUAGCGGUGAAAUGCUUAGAUAUGUUAUAGAACACCGAUUGCGAAGGCAGUCUGCUAAGCCAUCAUUGACGCUGAGGCACGAAAGCGUGGGGAGCAAACAGGAUUAGAUACCCUGGUAGUCCACGCCCUAAACGUUGAUUACUCGCUGUUGGCGAUACACUGUCAGCGGCUAAGCGAAAGCGUUAAGUAAUCCACCUGGGGAGUACGUCCGCAAGGAUGAAACUCAAAGGAAUUGACGG